This 71-nucleotide transfer RNA is filed under the name Rhodospirillales bacterium. RNAcentral's name for it is "tRNA-Ser". It matches the Rfam family "tRNA". Rfam says of the family: Transfer RNA (tRNA) molecules are approximately 80 nucleotides in length. Their secondary structure includes four short double-helical elements and three loops (D, anti-codon, and T loops). Further hydrogen bonds mediate the characteristic L-shaped molecular structure. tRNAs have two regions of fundamental functional importance: the anti-codon, which is responsible for specific mRNA codon recognition, and the 3' end, to which the tRNAs corresponding amino acid is attached (by aminoacyl-tRNA synthetases). tRNAs cope with the degeneracy of the genetic code in two manners: having more than one tRNA (with a specific anti-codon) for a particular amino acid; and 'wobble' base-pairing, i.e. permitting non-standard base-pairing at the 3rd anti-codon position. The record is from RNAcentral. Lineage: Bacteria; Pseudomonadati; Pseudomonadota; Alphaproteobacteria; Rhodospirillales.
GCACCGGAAAACAGGUUACGCUUGCCCUCCGAAGGCAGAGGUCGUAGGUUCGAAUCCUACCGGUUGCGCCA